Molecule: unclassified non-coding RNA, 520 nt
Filed under: uncultured Glomus
Lineage: Eukaryota; Fungi; Glomeromycota; Glomeromycetes; Glomerales; Glomeraceae
Description: SSU rRNA
Rfam family: Eukaryotic small subunit ribosomal RNA
Source: RNAcentral
AGCAGCCGCGGUAAUUCCAGCUCCAAUAGCGUAUAUUAAAGUUGCUGCAGUUAAAAGCUCGUAGUUGAAUUUCGGGAUCAAUAUGUUGGUCGUGCCUCGGUACGUACUAGCUUAUUGGUUUCUUCCUUCUGACGAACCAUAAUGUCAUUUAUUUGGUGUUAUGGGGAAUCAGGACUGUUACUUUGAAAAAUUAGAGUGUUUAAAGCAGGCUCACGCUUGAAUACAUUAGCAUGGAAUAAUGAAAUAGGACGUUUGAUUCUAUUUUGUUGGUUUCUAGGAUCGACGUAAUGAUUAAUAGGGAUAGUUGGGGGCAUUAGUAUUCAAUUGUCAGAGGUGAAAUUCUUGGAUUUAUUGAAGACUAACUACUGCGAAAGCAUUUGCCAAGGAUGUUUUCAUUAAUCAAGAACGAAAGUUAGGGAUCGAAGACGAUCGGAUACCGUCGUAGUCUUAACCAUAAACUAUAGCCGACUAGGGAUCGGAUGAUGUUAAUUUUUAAUGACUCAUUCGGCGCCUUACGGGU